GACGGCGUCACCCACCUUGAAAUACCCCGCCUUGGCGCCCGACCGUAACCGUCCCAACCAACCUCUUCUCCCCGUCGCCGGAGCACCAAGAUUCCAAGAACCCCACCUCUCCUUCCCCGCUCGGUUUCUCCCUCCACCGCGCACCUCUACUCUCCGGCGUAUCCGGCGACCGAUGGAGCAGUUCCAGACGGCCACCACGUGCGGCUGCGGAGCCGCCAGACCGGCACGUACCUGCACGCCGACGACGACGGGCGUCGCGUCUCCCUCAGCCGGCGGCGCGCGUCGAUGAACGAGGCUUGGGCGGUGCACUUGUUCCAGCCCCCUCAGGCGCAGGUGCGGUACCUACUCCUCCACAGCGCCGCCUACGGUCGCUACCUCGCCUCCACGGACGCGCCGGCGCCGCGCACUUGUUCCAGCCCCCUCAGGCGCAGGUGCGGUACCUACUCCUCCACAGCGCCGCCUACGGUCGCUACCUCGCCUCCACGGACGCGCCGGCGCCGCGAGGCCACAGCGGGCUCCGCGUCGAGCAGUGCGACUACGAGCCGUGGGAGGAGGAGGCCAUCAGGUGGCAGGCCGUAGGGGUCGACUCCGGGAACGACGUCCUGCUCCGCAACGUCGCCGGCCGCCUCCGCGCCAACGGGAGGUACCUCAGCGUCGACGACUUCAACAGCACCGGCACGAUGAUGCACUGGGUCGUGGAGCGCAUCCCCGCCAGGAACGACGCGCCUCGUCUUGCAGCUCCGACUGGGGUGAGUCCGCCAUGCCCGCUGCUGCUUCAUACUUCUCGAACUGCUUUCAGCGGAACUAUCGAUUGGGCG
This 818-nucleotide long non-coding RNA is filed under the name Hordeum vulgare. RNAcentral's name for it is "long non-coding RNA (HVUL_LNC017719)". Lineage: Eukaryota; Viridiplantae; Streptophyta; Magnoliopsida; Poales; Poaceae. The record is from RNAcentral.